GGAUUGGUGCCUUCGGGAACUGUGAGACAGGUGCUGCAUGGCUGUCGUCAGCUCGUGUUGUGAAAUGUUGGGUUAAGUCCCGCAACGAGCGCAACCCUUAUCCUUUGUUGCCAGCGAUUAGGUCGGGAACUCAAAGGAGACUGCCAGUGAUAAACUGGAGGAAGGUGGGGAUGACGUCAAGUCAUCAUGGCCCUUACGACCAGGGCUACACACGUGCUACAAUGGCGCAUACAAAGAGAAGCGACCUCGCGAGAGCAAGCGGACCUCAUAAAGUGCGUCGUAGUCCGGAUUGGAGUCUGCAACUCGACUCCAUGAAGUCGGAAUCGCUAGUAAUCGUGGAUCAGAAUGCCACGGUGAAUACGUUCCCGGGCCUUGUACACACCGCCCGUCACACCAUGGGAGUGGGUUGCAAAAGAAGUAGGUAGCUUAACCUUCGGGAGGGCGCUUACCACUUUGUGAUUCAUGACUGGGGUGAAGUCGUAACAAGGUAACCGUAGGGGAACCUGCGGUUGGA
RNAcentral lists this ribosomal RNA (514 nucleotides) under Salmonella enterica. Its description in RNAcentral is "bacterial SSU rRNA". It matches the Rfam family "Bacterial small subunit ribosomal RNA", at positions 1008 to 1522 of the family's 1533-position model. The record is from RNAcentral. Lineage: Bacteria; Pseudomonadati; Pseudomonadota; Gammaproteobacteria; Enterobacterales; Enterobacteriaceae. RNAcentral also lists the same sequence under 2 other names.